Molecule: long non-coding RNA, 653 nt
Filed under: Elaeis guineensis (African oil palm)
Lineage: Eukaryota; Viridiplantae; Streptophyta; Magnoliopsida; Arecales; Arecaceae
Description: long non-coding RNA (EGUI_LNC012129)
Source: RNAcentral
GAAAGACAAAAAAGUUUUGUUGUAAAGCUAGUCUUAACUCGUAGCCUGUUUGAUUUGAAUAAGUAAGCUCGAAGGAUAUUUUAUACCUAGUGUCCUAAAGCCAAUUGAUUUGUAAGUCAUUGACUGAAAACUCACUACAUAAAUCAGACAGAAAGCUUAAGAGAUUAAGACACUCAAUAAUAGUAUAAUGUUAAAGUAAUAAAAAAAUCAAUAAAUGAAAGACGGAAGUAAAACUACACUUGCUCAUACGAAAGUAGAUGAUUUAGAGAUAAAGAUAGGGGUAAUUUAGAAAAAAAUUAGAAAAAAUUUAGUGUUCUUGACUUAACUUCUAUAUUGAUUAGUACUAAUACUCCAAUGACAUAGCUCACUCACGCUCUACUGAAUAUCAAUAGUUUUUUUUUAAAUUACUUGGUAAAACUUGAAACUCGAAGCUAAAUGGUACUUAGUACUAAAUCUUUCUUUACUCAAGGACGAGCAAAAUUCAAGUUAGAAGGUAUAAUAAGUAUAUAAAAUAUAUCAAUAAAAGUAUUAAUUUAUAAAUUAAUUUAUAUUUAUUUCUUAAGAAUUAAUACUUUUAUUUAUAUUUUACAGAAAAUAUGAUCGUUAAUGAAAAGAGCUCGAUUCGAGGGUUAGAAAGACUCAAAUGUGGAAUA